Molecule: transfer RNA, 69 nt
Filed under: Bambusicaliscelis fanjingensis
Lineage: Eukaryota; Metazoa; Arthropoda; Insecta; Hemiptera; Caliscelidae
Description: tRNA-Gln
Rfam family: tRNA
About the family: Transfer RNA (tRNA) molecules are approximately 80 nucleotides in length. Their secondary structure includes four short double-helical elements and three loops (D, anti-codon, and T loops).
Source: RNAcentral
UAUAAUUUAAUGUAAAAUGCAUGUAGAAUUUUGAAUUCUUUAGAUUUGGUUUAAUUCCAAUAAUUAUAA